GCUCACGGCCACACCGGCCUGAGUACGCCUGAUCUCGUCCGAUCUCGGAAGCUAAGCAGGGUCGGGCCUGGUUAGUACUUGGAUGGGAGACCGCCUGGGAAUACCAGGUGCUGUAAGCU
Oncorhynchus mykiss (rainbow trout) is the source of this 119-nucleotide ribosomal RNA. The record is from Ensembl. NCBI's taxonomy places the organism in Eukaryota, Metazoa, Chordata, Actinopteri, Salmoniformes, Salmonidae.